Molecule: ribosomal RNA, 433 nt
Filed under: uncultured bacterium
Lineage: Bacteria
Description: partial 16S ribosomal RNA
Rfam family: Bacterial small subunit ribosomal RNA
Source: RNAcentral
AACGAACGCUGGCGGCAUGCCUAACACAUGCAAGUCGAACGAGACCUUCGGGUCUAGUCGCGCACGGAUGCGUAACGCGUUGGAACCUGCCUUUAAGUUCGGAAGAACGCAGAGAAAUUUGAGCUAAUACCGGAUGAUGUCUUCGAACCAAAGAGUUAGCGCAUUUGGAUGGUCCCGCGUUGGAUUACCUAGUUGGUGGGGUAAAUGCCUACCAAGGCGAGGAUACAUAGCUGGUAUGAGAGGAUGAUCAGCGACACUGGGACUGAGAAACGGCCCAGACUAUUACGGGAGGGAGCAGUGGGGAAUAUUGGACAAUGGGCGAAAGCAUGAUCCAGCAAGGACUGGUGAGUGAUGAAGGCCUUAGGGUUGUAAAGUUAGUUUAUCCGAGACGAUAAUGACAGUACCGGGAGAAUAAGCUCCGGCUAACUCCGUG